RNAcentral lists this ribosomal RNA (245 nucleotides) under Olea europaea subsp. europaea. RNAcentral describes it as "Bacterial small subunit ribosomal RNA". It matches the Rfam family "Bacterial small subunit ribosomal RNA", at positions 153 to 347 of the family's 1533-position model. The record is from Rfam by way of RNAcentral. Lineage: Eukaryota; Viridiplantae; Streptophyta; Magnoliopsida; Lamiales; Oleaceae.
GUGUCAAACCAAAAUACCCAACAAGCAUUAACUCUCCCUGAAAAGGAGGUGAUCCAGCUACAUCUUCCAGUACGGCUACCUUGUUACGACUUCACUCCAGCAAAAAGAGGAAUCUGCUCGAGUAGGGGCUUGCUUCUGAUUAGCUAGUUGGUGGGCAAUAGCUUACUAAAGCAAUAAUCAAUAGUUGGUCCGAGAGGAUGAUCAGCCACACUAGGAAUGAGACACGGCCUAGGCUCAUACGGGAG